GACGAACGCUGGCGGCGUGCUUAACACAUGCAAGUCGAACGGAAAGGCCCUGCUUUUGUGGGGUGCUCGAGUGGCGAACGGGUGAGUAACACGUGAGUAACCUGCCCUUGACUUUGGGAUAACUUCAGGAAACUGGGGCUAAUACCGGAUAGGAGCUCCUGCUGCAUGUUGGGGGUUGGAAAGUUUCGGCGGUUGGGGAUGGACUCGCGGCUUAUCAGCUUGUUGGUGGGGUAGUGGCUUACCAAGGCUUUGACGGGUAGCCGGCCUGAGAGGGUGACCGGCCACAUUGGGACUGAGAUACGGCCCAGACUCCUACGGGAGGCAGCAGGGGGGAAUAUUGCACAAUGGGCGGAAGCCUGAUGCAGCAACGCCGCGUGCGGGAUGACGGCCUUCGGGUUGUAAACCGCUUUCGCCUGUGACGAAGCGUGAGUGACGGUAAUGGGUAAGGAAGCACCGGCUAACUACGUG
Molecule: ribosomal RNA, 468 nt
Filed under: uncultured bacterium
Lineage: Bacteria
Description: partial 16S ribosomal RNA
Rfam family: Bacterial small subunit ribosomal RNA
Source: RNAcentral